RNAcentral lists this ribosomal RNA (446 nucleotides) under uncultured bacterium. Its description in RNAcentral is "bacterial SSU rRNA". It matches the Rfam family "Bacterial small subunit ribosomal RNA", at positions 331 to 794 of the family's 1533-position model. The record is from RNAcentral.
CCAGACUCCUACGGGAGGCAGCAGUGGGGAAUAUUGCACAAUGGGGGAAACCCUGAUGCAGCGACGCCGCGCGAGUGAAGAAGUAUUUCGGUAUGUAAAGCUCUAUCAGCAGGGAAGGUAAUGACGGUACCUGACUAAGAAGCCCCGGCUAACUACGUGCCAGCAGCCGCGGUAAUACGUAGGGGGCAAGCGUUAUCCGGAUUUACUGGGUGUAAAGGGUGCGUAGGUGGCAGGGCAAGUCAGAUGUGAAAGCCCGGGGCUCAACCCCGGUACUGCAUUUGAAACUGUCCAGCUGGAGUGCAGGAGAGGUAAGCGGAAUUCCUAGUGUAGCGGUGAAAUGCGUAGAUAUUAGGAGGAACACCAGUGGCGAAGGCGGCUUACUGGACUGUAACUGACACUGAGGCACGAAAGCGUGGGGAGCAAACAGGAUUAGAUACCCGAGUAGU